CCACUUCCAAGCACCUAAUUAAUCCACAGCCUACUUGACAAUAGAGAUGUAACGAAGAAUAAGCAUGCCAGCAUAAAUUUUCUUUUCCCUCCAUAGGAAAACAUCAGCAGCUGCCAAAAAUUAGUAAGAUAAUUCAAGUGGAAAGAUGUACAAGUAUCCAUGGAAAGGAGAGUGAACUCAUAACUCUGAUUUUAAAUUAGAUAGGU
RNAcentral lists this long non-coding RNA (206 nucleotides) under Olea europaea (common olive). Its description in RNAcentral is "long non-coding RNA (OEUR_LNC015577)". Lineage: Eukaryota; Viridiplantae; Streptophyta; Magnoliopsida; Lamiales; Oleaceae. The record is from RNAcentral.